UAAUACCUGGUACUCCGGAAGCGGCGCAUGCCGCAUCCGGGAAAGCUCUCGCGGCGGGGGAUGGGGUCGCGGCCCAUCACUUAGACGGCGGGGCAGAGGCCCACCGUGCCGACGACGGGUAGCCGGGUUGAGAGACCGACCGGCCACAUUGGGACUGAGAUACGGCCCAGACUCCUACGGGAGGCAGCAGUGGGGAAUUUUGCGCAAUGGGGGCAACCCUGACGCAGCAACGCCGCGUGCGGGACGAAGGCGUCCGCGUCGUAAACCGCUUUCAGCGGGGAACACCUAAACGAGGGUACCCGCAGAAGAAGCCCCGGCUAAAUACGUGCCAGCAGCCGCGGUAAUACGUAUGGGGCGAGCGUUAUCCGGAUUCAUUGGGCGUAAAGCGCGCGUAGGCGGAGCGCUAAGCGGGACCUCUAACCCGAGGGCUCAACCCCCGGCCGGGUCCCGAACUGGCGCUCUCGAGUGCGGUAGGGGAGAGCGGAAUUCCCGGUGUAGCGGUGGAAUGCGCAGAUAUCGGGAAGAACACCGACGGCGAAGGCAGCUCUCUGGGCCGAAACUGACGCUGAGGCGCGAAAGCUGGGGGAGCGAACAGGAUUAGAUACCCUGGUAGUCCCAGCCGUAAACGA
Molecule: ribosomal RNA, 629 nt
Filed under: uncultured bacterium
Lineage: Bacteria
Description: bacterial SSU rRNA
Rfam family: Bacterial small subunit ribosomal RNA
Source: RNAcentral